RNAcentral lists this small nuclear RNA (104 nucleotides) under Castor canadensis (American beaver). The record is from RNAcentral. Lineage: Eukaryota; Metazoa; Chordata; Mammalia; Rodentia; Castoridae.
GGGGUCACUUCAGUAGCACAUACACUAAAACUGGAAUGACACAGAGAAGAUUAGCACACUCUGUUAAAGGACGACAUGCAAACAAAGAAACAUUCCAAUAUUAU